Anolis carolinensis (green anole) is the source of this 3028-nucleotide long non-coding RNA. RefSeq lists it as uncharacterized. The record is from RefSeq and is a predicted model, not a curated record. Lineage: Eukaryota; Metazoa; Chordata; Lepidosauria; Squamata; Anolidae. The transcript has 2 exons.
AGCCAGGAGGAAAGGAUUACAAUCAUAAUAAAUGAGCUACCUUUCAGAUCUUGUCUCUUCUUGUGCUCAAUGUCAGCAGGGGUUCUGAGAUGUAAACUGUCCCCAGCAGAUGUUAUGAAGGCUCAUGAAGUGAAAUUAUAUAUUAUAUACGAAAUUAUAUAAAUGAUUAAUCAGGUUGGCAUUCCAUUUACUAUUUUCUUGCUUACAUUUUUAGACUACUUCUGCCUGACUCCUCAUUUCCUGCCAACACCAGAGCGUCUCCAUACAGAGUUAUGGCAAAGAUGGCUAUGACUGCUACAAUGAUACUACUGGACAAGUUUUGCCUUCAAGAAUUAAAUGUGAUGACCUGUUGACAUGCAUCACAUCAAAAGAAUCAUCAUGACCAGGAAGGAAGGGUCCCCCUGCUCUUACAGGUGGAUGACUGUACCUAGAUCCUGUGACCCAAUUUUGGGUGCUAGUUAGUAGCAAACAUAGGCAGUGACUAAAAAGAAGGGCAAAGUGGGGCCAGUGGUUUUUUAUGAAUGAGUUUUGCCUUUUUUACAAAUGAGCAUAGGCAACGCAAUCCGAAAUGUCUUUUCUAUGUCUUUUAUGAACUUUUGGGUAUCAGGGACCCAUUUUCCCUCUCCUGCAUGAACUCCCAUGUAUUCCUUACACCGUCUCCUAGUCUUAGAGUAAAACCCCCAGUCAGCCCUCUUGCCUGCCUGAGCUGAUGGGGAACCUCUGGGAUUCCCCCCCCCCUUUCCCCUAUGGAAAAACACAAAAGGAGAUCAAAGCCCUUUUAGGCGCCCAUAGGACCGACUGUGUUUGUCUCCCCAACCCAUGGGAUGCUGGAUCUCGUGAUUCUCCCCACAAAUGGAUUCCAUAUGUGUCUCCUAUUAUUUUUAUUAUUUUUAUUAUCAUUAUUUUUUAAUCUUUAUUAUUUCCUAUGAUAUCUUACCCCUUAUGAAUAAGGCAUUGUGACCCUGACAUGAACUCUGAUCAACACAUCAUUUCAGCCGGGCACCAUCAGGAUGCCUAAGGCUAUGUAUUACUAAUAUGGGUUACAGAAAUCACCCUCUGAAGAAGAGACAAUGGACUUCCUUUCUGGAUUUCGGAGGACACAGAUGCCAGACCAUCUAAGAGGAAGGAACCUUUGGACAUUCUAAGUCACUCAUCAUAAAAGACUCAUUCUCCUGACAGGGAGACAAGAAAUCACCAGUGAUCAGACAAAAGCCACCUCCUUCCUUGGACUCUGAAUCAUACACAAUCCCAUCAAGGUUCCUGCCAUGACUGCUUCUUUCACAAUGAGGCUGGCCAGCAUGAGUCAGACUCUCAUUCAUGAAAAUUGUUAAAUCAAUCAAUGAAUCCAUAGCCAGGUCCAGUUUGAGAGCCUGAAAGCUUUCGCCACAUCACUUGACAAAGGCUUGCUAUAGUCACUCAUAAUCCCUUCAUCAACAUAUGUUUGUCUUUGUUUUUUCCGUUGCCACGCCUCCAUUUCCCCAUUGGCUGCCGAGAGAGUGACAUCACAAGUGGGGCUUGCGCUCCCAUUGGAUGAGGCAUGCGAGCCUCCAAAUUGCCCCUCCUGCCUCCUGAUGUCAGGGACUCCCCUAGCCAAUCAGCGAGGAGCCAGCCAGCAGGGCGGGGGCAGGAAAUUCAAAAUGGUAAAGUAUAAAAAGUGCAUUUUUCUAUGUAAUGGCAUGUCGGUUCUUUGUGCAACUUAUUGCUACCGUCAUCCUGCUGCAGCUGGACAGAAUAAAGCGUCGGUGAUCUCUACUUCAAACCUAGGCCUGAAAGGAUGUCUGAUGCAGAGACUUCAUUCAAAAGGAACUGGACAUAAGCAAGCAAUACAGUGUAAGACAUUUUAUCCCCUUUGACAGUCAUUCAAAAGACUCGCUCCCUCCCCUGAUUGGCACAGAAGCGUCCAAGCCAAGAUCCGGACUUUCAUUGGCUGGGGACUCCCGCUGACGUCAGAGGUGGAUGGAGCUUUCCCCAUGGCGGGAAGAAUUGAGAAUUCCCAUUUGUCCUUUUGAAGUUGGAGUCGUUCAGAGCACUACCCAGGCUUGGACUUAAUCAUAUGGGUUGUGGCAACACAAAGAGUCUGUGAUGAUAUUGUACCGUGUUUCCCUGAAAACAAGACAGUUUCAUAUUAAUUUGUGCUCCCAAAGAGGCGCUAGGUCUUAUUUUCAGAGGAUGUCUUAUUUUUCCAGAAGAAUUCACAUUUAUUGUUGAACAAAAAAUGAACAUUUAUUAUGUACUGUACAGUAGUUGUCAUCACAAACCAACAUAACCACACAAACUGUAAGUCCUAUCAAGAAUUUCUUGUUACUACCAUUAUUUCCAUGUACAACAAUCUAUGGUAUGUACAUAUCCCGAUCCUGCAUGCUCUGGUGUUCUGUUCGUUGGGGAUGCUUCCAAACAAAAACUUUGCUAGGUCUUACUUUUGGGGGAGGCCUUAUAUUUAGCAAUUCAGCAAAACCUCUACUAGGUCUUAUUUUCAGGGAAACAGGGUAUGAGCCAGUCUUUGAUACAAUGGGAAAGCUUCAGUAAAUAUAGAUAACUGAAUGGAAAGUAUACAGAACAAUAUAAAUCCAAUUGAGGCACAUAUUUCUGAAACACCGGGAUUUUCUCCCGGAUCCUGAUCUUAAUUGCAUCUUAAGGGAAGAUAUUUUCCUGUUUACUUUGCUUCCCAGAGGGGAUUUCUUCCCAGCAGGACACUGCACCAACUUCCCAGAUGUACACAUCCCAACGGUUUUAUAAGCAUAUACAUGUCACCAUAAGAUCUUAUAGUUCUCCGGAGUACACAGGGUCAUAUCUAUUGCUGUACUGGCCAGUGCACCCCAAUACAUUUCUAAGCCCCCCCUUAUAUAUAUAUUUCCAAUAAAUUGUAUUCAUGUAUUCAGACAUAAGGAAAACUCAGAGGGUUGCUUAAGCGAUGUUGAAACUCACUGGGUGAGUGGCUGGGGAUUAUCCCAUUGUCCCAUGAACAUUUACCUUCCACUUCCCCAGUUCUUUGGGCUGGGUAAACAAUUGAUUAAAUCCUCUCUGGCUU